This 495-nucleotide ribosomal RNA is filed under the name uncultured bacterium. RNAcentral describes it as "bacterial SSU rRNA". It matches the Rfam family "Bacterial small subunit ribosomal RNA", at positions 25 to 518 of the family's 1533-position model. The record is from RNAcentral.
CAGGAUGAACGCUGGCGGCGUGCUUAACACAUGCAAGUCGAACGAAGCUCUUUGAACUGAGGAUUCGUCUGAAGUGAUGAGAUGACUUAGUGGCGGACGGGUGAGUAACGCGUGGGUAACCUGCCGUAUGCAGGGGGACAACAGUUGGAAACGACUGCUAAUACCGCAUAAGCGCACGGUAUUGCAUGAUACAGUGUGAAAAGAUUUAUCGGCAUACGAUGGACCCGCGUCUGAUUAGCUAGUUGGUGAGGUAACGGCCCACCAAGGCGACGAUCAGUAGCCGGCCUGAGAGGGUGAACGGCCACAUUGGGACUGAGACACGGCCCAAACUCCUACGGGAGGCAGCAGUGGGGAAUAUUGCACAAUGGGGGAAACCCUGAUGCAAGCGACGCCGCGUGAGUGAAGAAGUAUCUCGGUAUGUAAAGCUCUAUCAGCAGGGAAGAAAAUGACGGUACCUGACUAAGAAGCCCCGGCUAACUACGUGCCAGCCGCUGC